Molecule: ribosomal RNA, 686 nt
Filed under: Vibrio sp. OPT24
Lineage: Bacteria; Pseudomonadati; Pseudomonadota; Gammaproteobacteria; Vibrionales; Vibrionaceae
Also listed under: 3 other names
Description: partial 23S ribosomal RNA
Rfam family: Bacterial large subunit ribosomal RNA
Source: RNAcentral
UUACGGACAGUGCCUGGUGGGUAGUUUGACUGGGGCGGUCUCCUCCCAAAGAGUAACGGAGGAGCACGAAGGUGGGCUAAACACGGUUGGACAUCGUGUGGUUAGUGCAAUGGCAUAAGCCCGCUUGACUGCGAGAAUGACAAUUCGAGCAGGUGCGAAAGCAGGUCAUAGUGAUCCGGUGGUUCUGAAUGGAAGGGCCAUCGCUCAACGGAUAAAAGGUACUCCGGGGAUAACAGGCUGAUACCGCCCAAGAGUUCAUAUCGACGGCGGUGUUUGGCACCUCGAUGUCGGCUCAUCACAUCCUGGGGCUGAAGUCGGUCCCAAGGGUAUGGCUGUUCGCCAUUUAAAGUGGUACGCGAGCUGGGUUUAGAACGUCGUGAGACAGUUCGGUCCCUAUCUGCCGUGGGCGUUGGAAAAUUGAAAGGGGCUGCUCCUAGUACGAGAGGACCGGAGUGGACGAACCUCUGGUGUUCGGGUUGUCAUGCCAAUGGCAUUGCCCGGUAGCUAAGUUCGGAAUCGAUAACCGCUGAAAGCAUCUAAGCGGGAAGCGAGCCUUGAGAUGAGUUUUCCCUGGCACUAUAAGUGUCCUAAAGGGUUGUCGUAGACUACGACGUUGAUAGGCAGGGUGUGUAAGUGCUGCGAGGCAUUGAGCUAACCUGUACUAAUUGCCCGUGAGGCUUAACCAU